GGUCUGAUAGCACAACGGUUAGUGUGUCUGCUUUAGCUGGUUGAUUUCAGCUUGAUGUUUUAAGCAGAAGAUCCCUGUUCGAUUCGGGGUCAGGUCA
Mycena metata is the source of this 97-nucleotide non-coding RNA. The record is from the annotation of a GenBank genome assembly. Lineage: Eukaryota; Fungi; Basidiomycota; Agaricomycetes; Agaricales; Mycenaceae.